This 800-nucleotide ribosomal RNA is filed under the name Clostridium sp. NB 52. Its description in RNAcentral is "bacterial SSU rRNA". It matches the Rfam family "Bacterial small subunit ribosomal RNA", at positions 44 to 878 of the family's 1533-position model. The record is from RNAcentral. Lineage: Bacteria; Bacillati; Bacillota; Clostridia; Eubacteriales; Clostridiaceae.
GGGNGGCUACCAUGCANGUCGAGUNUCUCUUCGGAGAGAGCGGCGGACGGGUGAGUAACGCGUGGGUAACCUGCCCUGUACACACGGAUAACAUACCGAAAGGUAUACUAAUACGGGAUAACAUANGAAAGUCGCAUGGCUUUUGUAUCAAAGCUCCGGCGGUACAGGAUGGACCCGCGUCUGAUUAGCUAGUUGGUAAGGUAAUGGCUUACCAAGGCAACGAUCAGUAGCCGACCUGAGAGGGUGAUCGGCCACACUGGAACUGAGACACGGUCCAGACUCCUACGGGAGGCAGCAGUGGGGAAUAUUGCACAAUGGGCGAAAGCCUGAUGCAGCAACGCCGCGUGAGCGAUGAAGGCCUUCNGGUCGUAAAGCUCUGUCCUCAAGGAAGAUAAUGACGGUACUUGAGGAGGAAGCCCCGGCUAACUACGUGCCAGCAGCCGCGGUAAUACGUAGGGGGCUAGCGUUAUCCGGAAUUACUGGGCGUAAAGGGUGCGUAGGUGGUUUUUUAAGUCAGAAGUGAAAGGCUACGGCUCAACCGUAGUAAGCUUUUGAAACUAGAGAACUUGAGUGCAGGAGAGGAGAGUAGAAUUCCUAGUGUAGCGGUGAAAUGCGUAGAUAUUAGGAGGAAUACCAGUAGCGAAGGCGGCUCUCUGGACUGUAACUGACACUGAGGCACGAAAGCGUGGGGAGCAAACAGGAUUAGAUACCCUGGUAGUCCACGCCGUAAACGAUGAGUACUAGGUGUCGGGGGUUACCCCCCUCGGUGCCGCAGCUAACGCAUAAGACUCCGCCUGAAG